Acanthosepion pharaonis is the source of this 114-nucleotide non-coding RNA. The record is from the annotation of a GenBank genome assembly. NCBI's taxonomy places the organism in Eukaryota, Metazoa, Mollusca, Cephalopoda, Sepiida, Sepiidae.
UUACGGCCGUAUCACAUCAAAACACAGGUUCCCGUACGAUCACCAAAGUUAAGCAUUGUCAAGCCUGGUCAGCACCUAGAUGGGUGACUGCUCGGUAAAACCAGGUACUGUAAG